Molecule: transfer RNA, 91 nt
Filed under: Acinetobacter baumannii PR07
Lineage: Bacteria; Pseudomonadati; Pseudomonadota; Gammaproteobacteria; Moraxellales; Moraxellaceae
Description: tRNA-Met
Rfam family: tRNA
About the family: Transfer RNA (tRNA) molecules are approximately 80 nucleotides in length. Their secondary structure includes four short double-helical elements and three loops (D, anti-codon, and T loops). Further hydrogen bonds mediate the characteristic L-shaped molecular structure. tRNAs have two regions of fundamental functional importance: the anti-codon, which is responsible for specific mRNA codon recognition, and the 3' end, to which the tRNAs corresponding amino acid is attached (by aminoacyl-tRNA synthetases). tRNAs cope with the degeneracy of the genetic code in two manners: having more than one tRNA (with a specific anti-codon) for a particular amino acid; and 'wobble' base-pairing, i.e. permitting non-standard base-pairing at the 3rd anti-codon position.
Source: RNAcentral
GGCUAUGUAGCUCAGUUGGUUAGAGCACCGCACUCAUAAUGCGGCACUCAUAAUGCGGGGGUCACAAGUUCAAGUCUCGUCAUAGCCACCA